This is a long non-coding RNA of Acanthochromis polyacanthus (spiny chromis), 2189 nucleotides long. RefSeq lists it as uncharacterized. The transcript is spliced from 2 exons. NCBI's taxonomy places the organism in Eukaryota, Metazoa, Chordata, Actinopteri, Pomacentridae. The record is from RefSeq and is a predicted model, not a curated record.
AAAAGAGUCGGAUUUCCCAUCACUAGAACGAAGAUAAACAGAGGACCAGCCCCAACAAAGAACUGACACCUCCCUGUGGGCGUUGGUUUCUGGUUUCAGCGGUAAAAGAAGGAAAACAUUUUGAUCUCCAGCAAGUUGGUUUUUCACUUCCAGCAGAAUCAGUUUGAUUUCCUGCUGGUACGACGCAUGCGACUGUUUUUUCCUCGGAGCAUUCAAACCUGUUGAACAUGAGUCUGAAACCAGGAGGGAAUGUUUUUGUGACCAGAGUCACUAAAUCAGUCGGUCUCUGCACUGCAGUCACUGGGAUUUUUCUCUACCAUGCCGUAUUUGACAAGGACCUUGAAUGUACCUGCAAAGAUCAAAUCAGGGUUUGGCAGGUCUACAUGACCCUCCCUGUAUUCAUAAUACCUGUAGUGUUGCUGUUGUUGGAUGGAUCCUUUCAGGUGCUCCUAAAAUACAGCUGCCUGAAGGGUAGGAAGAGAUUCCGUCGCUUUUUGUUGCAGUGCAUCAUCAGAGCAUUUCUCAUCGGCCUGUUGUGGCCGAUAUCAGUGAUGAUCGAUGGAGAUUGGUACGCCUGCUAUUAUAUUCACAAGAAUCUGUACUGUGGAGAGUUCAAUCUGAGAGCUGAUGGCCUAAUGAUCAUGAAAGAGCUCAAAUACACAUCGAGGAUUAUUGGCUUCACUGUGCUCAUCGUCGUCAUCGCUCUGGCUGCCAUCUUACGCUUCCCAUGGAGGGAAUGCUGCACUCAUGAAUCAAAAAAAUCAAUGUCUAAGAGUGAAUCAAAGUAUCUCAGCAAAGAUGAUGUCUUCGUAAAGAUUCUUUUGGAAGAGGGUGCAAAUAUAGUUACAAAUGAGCUGAUAGAGGUUGCACAAAGCGAGAUAAAAGAAAAACUCAAAGGCCACGUGUCUGCUGGAGAAUGGCUGAAAUGUUAUGAUGUUGUGGACGAGAUCAUUAAGGUUCACACCUCUACACCCACAUCAUCUGAAUACUCCCCUAACGAGGCCACAGCCUCAGUUUAGUCCUCCAAAGACCAACGCUGAAUCCCAAACUGCCCCCUCCACUACCGAGUGUCACUCCAAAAGAAGUCACACUCACAGCUGUGGAGGGCACCUAUUACUGAAGGGGGAGGGUAUAAAUACGAUCGUCAGGAAUGAGACGCCCUGUCGCCUCACCGGAAAACGGAAGACGUCAUCGCCAUGGUAACACAAAGACGCGUACUGUCAUGGCUGUAGCGCUGUGGCACAGGUUGCAACUAACAAGGAUCGCUGCUGCUUCCAGAAGACGAAAGCGUCCCACUUUUUUUUCACUCACAUGUUUUCCAAUCCUAUUAUCUGGCAUUUCAAAUCCAACAAAUGAAUGAAUGAACGAAUUAUGUCAGUUGUGUUCAAAUUUUAAGGUGUCAGGGGGUGCACAAUUAAAUCAAAUGUCAGCAGAGAAGAAGAUUUGUUUCUUUUGAUUUAUCUUUUUACAUCACUCUUUUUGUGAUGUUCUGUCAGUGUGAAAAAUGCGUGGGAGAAAUAAAGGACGCAUGUGGAACUUACAUCGAUAUGUUGUUUCCUCCUCCAUUUCGACGUUGCACUUCCUGAAAAAGUUGUCCAGAGUGAGCAUCGAUGCAGACUCGCUAUUUAAGGGCUGAACAGUCCACUCUCCCUCCGCACUACGCGGUUUGGGACGGCCCUUAAUAUGGAGGACCCUCCACGGGAACACGCAAACGGAGGGAUAGUGUGUAGGGGGCGGUUUGGGAUUCAGCCCUUGUCUUCUUUCCAGAGUUCCUCGUCACUCCAACAUCAGCGCCUCUCUGUGGUCAAAGCUAAAGCUGGCCCAUAUUUGAUCAUCACAGCUGCUCUGUUGCUAACUUGUUGCUAGUUGUACAGAAAUGUUUUCCAGGACUCAUACGUAGCUCAGACUGCUUUAAAGAGGAUUUACAGACAUUUAAUCUUUGCUCCGUUUGAAGCAUCUUUCUGUUCCUACACUUGAAGCUUUUCUUCUAUUUCUGCUGAUUGUGACUGCUGACAUUUAGACUGCAUUAAUAAUCAACUAACUACUGCUGAGCUCAGGGAUUCACACAUUUGUGGGGAUUAUUAAGUUCUUAUCAUGGAUUACCAAUUAUUUUAAAUCUAUGUCAUGUUGAAUUUCACACUUCCUGCAUGUUCUCUUUUCUUGUUAGUAAUAAAAAUCUUUAUUGAUCA